Molecule: unclassified non-coding RNA, 652 nt
Filed under: Hevea brasiliensis (rubber tree)
Lineage: Eukaryota; Viridiplantae; Streptophyta; Magnoliopsida; Malpighiales; Euphorbiaceae
Source: RNAcentral
UCUCACUAAAUAAAGUCUGGCAAACUAAGUCUAGUUGGUGAUCCUAGGGACAAAGAAUUAAUAACACAAAAGAGAACCCAAAAAACAAAAAACCUACAAAUUAUCUUACGACUAAAUGGAUCAAGUUUCAAACAUGACAAAGAAUCAAUAAAAAAAUGCACUGCAAGUUUCAACAGCUCCUUCCCACCAAGAUUUGAGUAAAAACUACAUUUACCUUAAGACCUAGCGGCAAAUAUUGAACAUCCUUUAGUUUUUGUUGAAGAGCUACAAUCACAUUUUCUUCUGACUUCAACCCAACACAUUAUAGAACAUAAACCGCAAUCUUCUAUUUUUAGAAGAUAAAAAGGAAAAAAGAAAAAGGAAUUUUUAGGGUUGGGAAGAAAAGGGAAGAAAAAGGCCGCCCACCCGGGAAUAAAAACAAGUUGGUUCCUUGCGGAUUCUGCGACAGCCACAUGCGGACCUUGAUAGAUAUUACCAUGUGUUACAGAUUGAAGGGGCAUUUGAUAUGUGAGGAAUCGGUGUAGCCUCCACCUAAAUGGUUGGUGGGAAUGGAAAAGAAAUCUUCUCCAACAGCAACCCAAAAGAGUUAACCAAGCAAAUACAUUUCUCGUUGGACCGUCUUUAUGCAUAGUACAUGUACAAGCUGUUUGCA